GUGCUUACCUGGCAGGAGAGGUGCCAUGAUCAUGAAGGUGGUUUUCCUGGGGUGCAGCUUGUCCAUCGCACGCUGGAUGUGCUGACUCCAGCAAUUUCCCCAAGUGUGGGAUACCUGGCUGCAUGAUUUGUGGUAGUGGGGAACUGCGUUUGGGCUUUACCCUA
This is a small nuclear RNA of Hippopotamus amphibius kiboko, 164 nucleotides long. RefSeq annotates it as U1 spliceosomal RNA. The record is from RefSeq and is a predicted model, not a curated record. The transcript has a single exon. Lineage: Eukaryota; Metazoa; Chordata; Mammalia; Artiodactyla; Hippopotamidae.